Non-coding RNA from Plutella xylostella (diamondback moth), 1085 nucleotides. The record is from RefSeq and is a predicted model, not a curated record. Lineage: Eukaryota; Metazoa; Arthropoda; Insecta; Lepidoptera; Plutellidae.
CCUCUUCUUUCUUGGUCCAUGGUCGAGAACUUGUCACUUGUGGUUCUCACUAUGUAGACGCAGACUUAGGCAAUGAGAUUAUAUUUCUACCUCGGGACAUCUAUAGCGAAAACGUAGGUCACUUGUCAGGAAUAUUUAAUAAUGUACAGGCUAACAUUUGGCGAGCGCACCAGAAGAACACUUCUCGUUAUAACUUGAGACGUAAGCCAGCUGAAUUUGACGUAAAUGAUAUUGUUUGGAAACGCACUUAUUUUCAAAGUGACAAAGACAGCUACUUCAGUAAAAAGUUGGCUCCAAAAUUUACAAAAUGUCGCGUUACAAGCAAGUUAUCUCCUUUAGUUUACCAAUUAGAAGACAUGAACGGUAAAGAUCUUGGCAAAUGGCACAUCAAAGAUCUUAAAUUGGUUAGUUGAUUUUAUUAGGUUUUAUUAAAAGUAGAUUUAGUGCGGAUUUUUUUUUGAGAAAAAAAAUCCUUGUGCAGCGAGCGGGGUAAUGUAACGUUAUUUAUUUUACAACGUUACCUACUUCAUUAUUAAACUUAAUUACCUAAAUCCAUCCGCGAGCGAAAAUGGUUCGUUUGCGCUUUGCUUCGCGGAUCCCUAAAAAACUUGUCCAGCGACCGGUUCGACUCGCAGCGAGGCUUGGCCACUGCUAUUCGCCGCUGCGAUUGUUAAACGUCUCGAGACCCUCGCUGAGUUUGUGCGUGCGCGCUUCUAUCUCGUUCGCCAGCUCACCGUCACUAACGGCCGAGUCGUAAACAUUACAAUUACAUAAUUAAUUAAAGGCAAUUACGUACUUGUGUAAUUAAAUAAACUAAGUGUUGUACAUGCAGUUCCCCACACUUCUUGGGGUCCGACGUACUGGUUGAGUACCUACUUACGACGGCACUGAGAUCCGCCUGUCCACCACCGGGAAUUAACUACGGAGCCGUUCGUUACCCACGACGCUUAUUUACCGCCUCGAGAAGACGUCCCGUUAUUCCUGGGCGGCUAAGGGGAGUACCUGACCGUAAUAGCCGUACGGAGAGAUUGAACCCGAGUGUAGGGCAACCCACGAAAUUUAAUAAAGUUAUACGCUAAAUUAAA